UUUACCCGAAAGAAUGGUGAACUAUGCCUGAGCAGGAUAAAGCCAGAGGAAACUCUGGUGGAAGUCCGAAGCGGUUCUGACGUGCAAAUCGAUCGUCUGACUUGGGUAUAGGGGCGAAAGACUAAUCGAACUAUCUAGUAGCUGGUUCCCUCUGAAAUUUCCCCCAGGAUAGCUGGUAUUUGUAUUAUGCAAUUAUAUUCGGUAAAGCGAAUGAUUAGAUGCCGAAGGGUCGAAAUGACCUUAACCUAUUCUCAAACUUUUAAUGGGUAUGAUGUCUCGCUUUCUCAACUUGCCUCUGAAGCGUGGACAUGGAAUGCAUAAAUACCUAGUGGGCCGUUUUUGGUAAGCAGAACCGGUGAUGUGGAAUGAACCAAACGUAAGGUUAAGGUGCCUAACUUUCCGCUCAUGAGAUCCCAUAAAAGGCGUUGGUUGAUAUAGACAGCAGGACGGUGGCCAUGGAAGUCGGAAACCGCUAAGGAGUGUGUAACAACUCACCUGCCGAAUCAACUAGCCCUGAAAAUGGAUGGCGCUUGAGCGGAAGACCUAUACCUUACCGUUGCUAUGCUUGUACGUAUUAAUCAAAAACUGGUUGAUACGCCUGGCUGCAACGAGUAAGAGGGACGUAAUGGUUAGCGUUGAAGGUUUUAGGCGUAGGCCUAGCUGGAGCUUCCAUUAGUGCAGAUCUUGGUGGUAGUAGCAAAUAUUCAAGUGAGAUCCUUGAAGACUGAAGUGGAGAAGGGUUCCACGUGAACAGCAGUUGAAUGUGGGUCAAUCGAUCCUAAGAUAGGGGCGAAAGCUUUUUUGAAACAAGUGGUGGAGAUUGCCUCAAAUCCAUCUUGUUUGAAUCGAAAGGGAAACGGGUUAAUAUUCCCGUAUCUAGACACGGAGAGAGUGCUUCCAUUGUGGGCACUUAGCGCGGUAACGCAAAUGAACUUGGAGAUGUUGACAAAAGCCCGAGCCAGAGUUCUCUUUUCUGGUUUAGGAACGGAUUCCCUGGAAACGGUUCAGCCGGCGAUAGGGAUAUUGUUUCCGUAAAGCAUCACGGCUUCUGUGGUGUCUCGUGCGCUUUUUGCCGACCCUUGAAAAUCCAAGGAAAGCUAUUCGAAUUUCGUGCUAGAUCGUACCAAUAUCCGCAUCAGGUCUCCAAGGUGAACAGCCUCUAGUCGAUAGAAUAAUGUAGAUAAGGGAAGUCGGCAAAUUUGAUCCGUACCUUCGGAAAAAGGAUUGGCUCUUAGAACUAGGCUAUUCGGGCUUUAACGUGAAGCAGGUGUAGCCCAUACCGUGCAGUGCAUUGUAUUGCUAGAUUUCGGUUUAGUGAUUGAUGUUCGGCUGGUUGUAUGGGUUAUCUUGUGGACCGGUCUAGCUAUGCUCGAUUACUUGCCCAUGUGACAGGUAAUCAAUGAGCGUCGAGUAGCGUUAAAUAGUUAACUUAGAACUGGCGCAGACACUGGGAAUCCGACUGUCUAAUUAAAACAGAGGCGAUAGAUGGUCCUUGAUGGACGUUGACUAUCGCUGAUUUCUGCCCAGUGCUCUGAAUGUGAAAGUGAAGUAAUUCAAUUAAGCUCGGGUAAACGGCGGGAGUAACUAUGACUCUCUUAAGGUAGCCAAAUGCCUCGUCACUCAAUUGCUGACGCGCACGAAUGGAUUAACGAGAUUCCCACUGUCCCUAACUACUAUCUAGCGAAACCACAGCCAAGGGAACGGGCUUGGCAAACACAGCGGGGAAAGAAGACCCUGUUGAGCUUGACUCUAGUUUGACUUUGUGAAAAAUCAUGAGAGGUGUAGCAUAGGUGGAAGGUUACUUCGGUAGCCAAAAGAGAAAUACCACUACUUUCAUCGAUUCUUUACUUAUUCGGUAAGACGAGAAUUGAGCCUGUCUAAAACAGACUCUUAUUUCUGGUGUUAAGUAAAGCCACUCGGUGGCUAUAUGACUCGCGCUGAAGAAAGUGUCAGGCGGGGAGUUUGACUGGGGCGGUACAUCUGUCAAACAAUAACGCAGGUGUCCUAAGGCUAGCUCAGAGAGGACAGAAACCUCUCGUAGAGUAAAAGGGCAAAAGCUUACUUGACCUUGAUUCUCAGUACGAAUACAGACCGCGAAAGCGAGGCCUAUGGAUCCUUUUAAAUUAGAAGGUCUCUAGUAAGAGGUGUCAGGAAAGUA
RNAcentral lists this ribosomal RNA (2158 nucleotides) under Protozoophaga obesa. RNAcentral's name for it is "eukaryotic LSU rRNA". It matches the Rfam family "Eukaryotic large subunit ribosomal RNA", at positions 811 to 2816 of the family's 3401-position model. The record is from RNAcentral. Lineage: Eukaryota; Metazoa; Nematoda; Chromadorea; Rhabditida; Oxyuridae.